RNAcentral lists this ribosomal RNA (446 nucleotides) under uncultured bacterium. RNAcentral describes it as "partial 16S ribosomal RNA". It matches the Rfam family "Bacterial small subunit ribosomal RNA", at positions 338 to 795 of the family's 1533-position model. The record is from RNAcentral.
UCUACGGGAGGCAGCAGUCGAGAAUCAUUCACAAUGGGGGAAACCCUGAUGGUGCGACGCCGCGUGGGGGAAUGAAGGUCUUCGGAUUGUAAACCCCUGUCAUGUGGGAGCAAAUUAAAAAGAUAGUACAACAAGAGGAAGAGCCGGCUAACUCUGUGGCAGCAACCGCGGUAAUAGAGGAGUCUCAAGCGUUGUUCGGGAUCACUGGGCGUAAAGCGUGCGGAGGGUGGUUCGUAGAUUCGGUGUUCAAGGGGCGGGCUGAAACCGCGGACGGCCGAUGAUACUGGGAGACUAGAGUAAGAGAGAGGUAAGCGGAAUUCGAGGUGUAGCAGUGAAAUGCGUAGAUAUCGAGAAGAACACUCGUGGCGAAGGCAGCUUCCUGGACAUUAACUGACGCUGAGGCACGAAGGCCAGGGGAGCGAAAAGGAUUAGAUACCCCUGUAGUC